Small nuclear RNA from Quercus lobata, 161 nucleotides. RefSeq annotates it as U1 spliceosomal RNA. The transcript has a single exon. Lineage: Eukaryota; Viridiplantae; Streptophyta; Magnoliopsida; Fagales; Fagaceae. The record is from RefSeq and is a predicted model, not a curated record.
AUACUUACCUGGACGGGGUCAAUAGGUGAUCAAAGAGGCCUAUGGCCUAGGCUAGUGACCUCCAUUGCACCUAGGAGGGGUGCUAGCUUAAGGUCUACUCAAGUGGUGGAGCCUACGUCAUAAUUUGUGGUAGCGGGGGCCUGCGUUCGCGCGGCCCCUGU